UGGGGAAUCUUGCACAAUGGGCGAAAGCCUGAUGCAGCAACGCCGCGUGCGGGAAGAAGGCCCUCGGGUUGUAAACCGCUUUCAGAAGGAACGAAACUGACGGUACUUUCAGAAGAAGGUGCGGCCAACUACGUGCCAGCAGCCGCGGUGACACGUAGGCACCAAGCGUUGUCCGGAUUUAUUGGGCGUAAAGAGCUCGUAGGCGGUUCAGUAAGUCGGGUGUGAAAACUUUGGGCUUAACCCAAAGCGUGCAUCCGAUACUGCUGUGACUUGAGUACGGUAGGGGAGCGGGGAAUUCCUAGUGUAGCGGUGAAAUGCGCAGAUAUUAGGAGGAACACCGGUGGCGAAGGCGCCGCUCUGGGCCGAAACUGACGCUGAGGAGCGAAAGCAUGGGGAGCAAACAGGAUUAGAUACCCGCGUAGUCCCUGAGCGGGCUGGCAAGGCGCAU
RNAcentral lists this ribosomal RNA (448 nucleotides) under uncultured bacterium. RNAcentral describes it as "bacterial SSU rRNA". It matches the Rfam family "Bacterial small subunit ribosomal RNA", at positions 355 to 825 of the family's 1533-position model. The record is from RNAcentral.